ACUCAAAUGAAUUGACGGGGGCCCGCACAAGCGGUGGAGCAUGUGGUUUAAUUCGACGCAACGCGAAGAACCUUACCAGGGCUUGACAUCCUUUGAAUCCCGAUGAAAGUUGGGAGUGUCCCUUCGGGGAAGCAAAGAGACAGGUGGUGCAUGGUUGUCGUCAGCUCGUGUCGUGAGAUGUUGGGUUAAGUCCCGCAACGAGCGCAACCCCUACGGUUAGUUGCUAACGUAAAGUCGAGCACUCUAGCAGAACUGCCGGUGACAAACCGGAGGAAGGUGGGGAUGACGUCAAAUCAUCAUGCCCUUUAUGUCCUGGGCUACACACGUGCUACAAUGGCUGGUACAAAGGGCGGCAAAACCGCGAGGUAGAGCGAAUCCCAAAAAGCCAGUCUCAGUUCGGAUUGCAGGCUGCAACUCGCCUGCAUGAAGUCGGAAUCGCUAGUAAUCGCAGGUCAGCAUACUGCGGUGAAUACGUUCCCGGGCCUUGUACACACCGCCCGU
Molecule: ribosomal RNA, 501 nt
Filed under: uncultured bacterium
Lineage: Bacteria
Description: bacterial SSU rRNA
Rfam family: Bacterial small subunit ribosomal RNA
Source: RNAcentral